GGAUUGUGGCUCAGUGGUAGAACACUUGCCUAGCAUGCAUGAGGCAUUGGGUUUGAUCCCCGAUACCA
Molecule: transfer RNA, 68 nt
Filed under: Marmota monax (woodchuck)
Lineage: Eukaryota; Metazoa; Chordata; Mammalia; Rodentia; Sciuridae
Description: tRNA.Ala
Source: RNAcentral